Cercocebus atys (sooty mangabey) is the source of this 70-nucleotide small nuclear RNA. Its record names the gene U5. It matches the Rfam family "U5 spliceosomal RNA". From Rfam's summary of the family: U5 RNA is a component of both types of known spliceosome. Lineage: Eukaryota; Metazoa; Chordata; Mammalia; Primates; Cercopithecidae. The record is from Ensembl.
CUGGUUUAUCUUCAGAUUGUAUAAAUCUUCUGCCUUUUGCUAAAGAUUUCCAUGGAAAGGAACAUUUAAG